CCUACGGGGGGCAGCAGUGGGGAAUAUUGCGCAAUGGGCGAAAGCCUGACGCAGCGACGCCGCGUGAGGGAUGAAGGUCUUCGGAUUGUAAACCUCUGUCAGCAGGGAAGAACGGUCACUGUGCUAAUCAGCAGUGAAUUGACGGUACCUGCAAAGGAAGCACCGGCUAAAUCCGUGCCAGCAGCCGCGGUAAUACGGAGGGUGCGAGCGUUAAUCGGAAUUACUGGGCGGAAAGCGCUCGUAGGCGGUAUGUCAAGUCAAGGGUGAAAUCCCCGGGCUCAACGUGGGAACUGCCUUUGAAACUGGCAAGCUGGAGUGUGUGAGAGGAUAGUGGAAUUCCAGGUGUAGGGGUGAAAUCCGUAGAUAUCUGGAGGAACAUCAGUGGCGAAGGCGACUAUCUGGCACAUAACUGACGCUGAGGAGCGAAAGCGUGGGUAGCAAACAGGAUUAGAUACCCCGGUAGUC
RNAcentral lists this ribosomal RNA (465 nucleotides) under uncultured bacterium. RNAcentral describes it as "partial 16S ribosomal RNA". It matches the Rfam family "Bacterial small subunit ribosomal RNA", at positions 338 to 795 of the family's 1533-position model. The record is from RNAcentral.